RNAcentral lists this ribosomal RNA (446 nucleotides) under uncultured archaeon. Its description in RNAcentral is "bacterial SSU rRNA". It matches the Rfam family "Archaeal small subunit ribosomal RNA", at positions 19 to 464 of the family's 1478-position model. The record is from RNAcentral.
GGAGGUUACUGCUAUCGGUGUUCGCCUAACCCAUGCGAGUCAUAUGUUCUUCGUGAACAUGGCGUACUGCUCAGUAACACGUGAAUAACCUGCCCUUGGGACCGGCAUAACCCCGGGAAACUGGGGAUAAUUCCGGAUACCGCAUAUAUGCUGGAAUGCUUUAUGCGUGAAAUGGAUUCGUCUGCCCAAGGAUGGGUCUGCGGCCUAUCAGGUAGUAGUGGGUGUAAUGUACCUACUACCCUACAACGGGUACGGGUUGUGAGAGCAAGAGCCCGGAAAUGGAUUCUGAGACAUGAAUCCAGGCCCUACGGGGCGCACCAGGCGCGAAAACUUUACAAUGCGGGAAACCGUGGUAAGGGGACACCGAGUGCCAGCAACAUUUGUUGGCUGUCCAGGUGUGUAAACUACACCUGUUAGCAAGGGCCGGGCAAGACCGGUGCCAGCAC